This 200-nucleotide ribosomal RNA is filed under the name uncultured bacterium. RNAcentral's name for it is "partial 16S ribosomal RNA". It matches the Rfam family "Bacterial small subunit ribosomal RNA", at positions 28 to 231 of the family's 1533-position model. The record is from RNAcentral.
GACGAACGCUGGCGGCGCGCUUAACACAUGCAAGUCGAACGAUGAACCACUUCGGUGGGGAUUAGUGGCGAACGGGUGGGUAACACGUGGGCAAUCUGCCCUUCACUCUGGGACAAGCCCUGGAAACGGGGUCUAAUACCGGAUACAACCACUACAGGCAUCUGUGGGUGGUGGAAAGCUCCGGCGGUGAAGGAUGAGCC